UGAGGAAUAUUGGUCAAUGGGCGAGAGCCUGAACCAGCCAAGUAGCGUGCAGGAUGACGGCCCUAUGGGUUGUAAACUGCUUUUAUAUGGGAAUAAAGUGAGGGACGUGUCCCUUAUUGCAUGUACCAUACGAAUAAGGACCGGCUAAUUCCGUGCCAGCAGCCGCGGUAAUACGGAAGGUCCAGGCGUUAUCCGGAUUUAUUCGGUUUAAAGGGAGCGUAGGCCGUUUGGUAAGCGUGUUGUGAAAUGUAGGAGCUCAACUUCUAGAUUGCAGCGCGAACUGUCAGACUUGAGUGCGCACAACGUAGGCGGAAUUCAUGGUGUAGCGGUGAAAUGCUUAGAUAUCAUGAAGAACUCCGAUUGCGAAGGCAGCUUACGGGAGCGCAACUGACGCUGAAGCUCGAAGGUGCGGGUAUCGAACAGG
RNAcentral lists this ribosomal RNA (424 nucleotides) under Verrucomicrobiota bacterium. RNAcentral's name for it is "Verrucomicrobia bacterium partial 16S ribosomal RNA". It matches the Rfam family "Bacterial small subunit ribosomal RNA", at positions 355 to 776 of the family's 1533-position model. Lineage: Bacteria; Pseudomonadati; Verrucomicrobiota. The record is from RNAcentral.